UGGGGAAUUUUGGACAAUGGGCGAAAGCCUGAUCCAGCCAUGCCGCGUGCAGGAUGAAGGCCUUCGGGUUGUAAACUGCUUUUGUACGGAACGAAAAGGUUUGGCCUAAUAAGCUGAGCUCAUGACGGUACCGUAAGAAUAAGCACCGGCUAACUACGUGCCAGCAGCCGCGGUAAUACGUAGGGUGCAAGCGUUAAUCGGAAUUACUGGGCGUAAAGCGUGCGCAGGCGGUUAUAUAAGACAGAUGUGAAAUCCCCGGGCUCAACCUGGGACCUGCAUUUGUGACUGCAAGGCUAGAGUAUGGCAGAGGGGGGUGGAAUUCCACGUGUAGCAGUGAAAUGCGUAGAGAUGUGGGGGAACACCGAUGGCGAAGGCAGCCCCCUGGGCCAAUACUGACGCUCAUGCACGAAAGCGUGGGUAGCAAACA
RNAcentral lists this ribosomal RNA (427 nucleotides) under uncultured bacterium. Its description in RNAcentral is "bacterial SSU rRNA". It matches the Rfam family "Bacterial small subunit ribosomal RNA", at positions 355 to 774 of the family's 1533-position model. The record is from RNAcentral.